AUUGCACGACUAUCCUUCUUAUUAGGUAUAUCAGUUGAAGUAUUUGUUUUCUGUGCUGCCGGAACUGACAUUAUUUUUACAUCCAGAGAACUUUCUUAUCAAAUCUUCAAGACCAAUUUCCUCGAAUUUGACAAACCGACGAAGAAAGUCUUAAUCAUGUUCAUGUUGAUAACAUCAAGAGAUAUUGUAGUUCGAUCUAGAGGCAUUGUGCCAAUAGACUUGAGUCUUGAAGUAUUCUUAGUGAUUCUAAAAACUUCUUACUCUUUUUUCACUGUUCUUCAA
Phlebotomus papatasi is the source of this 282-nucleotide long non-coding RNA. RefSeq lists it as uncharacterized. The transcript is spliced from 4 exons. NCBI's taxonomy places the organism in Eukaryota, Metazoa, Arthropoda, Insecta, Diptera, Psychodidae. The record is from RefSeq and is a predicted model, not a curated record.